GAUGAACGCUGGCGGCGUGCCUAAUACAUGCAAGUCGAGCGAACAGACGAGGAGCUUGCUCCUCUGACGUUAGCGGCGGACGGGUGAGUAACACGUGGAUAACCUACCUAUAAGACUGGGAUAACUUCGGGAAACCGGAGCUAAUACCGGAUAAUAUAUUGAACCGCAUGGUUCAAUAGUGAAAGACGGUUUUGCUGUCACUUAUAGAUGGAUCCGCGCCGCAUUAGCUAGUUGGUAAGGUAACGGCUUACCAAGGCAACGAUGCGUAGCCGACCUGAGAGGGUGGUCGGCCACACGGGAACUGAGACACGGUCCAGACUCCUACGGGAGGCAGCAGUAGGGAAUCUUCCGCAAGGGGCGAAAGCCUGACGGAGCAAAGCCGCGUGAGUGAUGAAGGUCUUCGGAUCGUAAAACUCUGUUAUUAGGGAAGAACAAAUGUGUAAGUAACUAUGCACGUCUUGACGGUACCUAAUCAGAAAGCCACGGCUAACUACGUG
RNAcentral lists this ribosomal RNA (497 nucleotides) under uncultured bacterium. Its description in RNAcentral is "partial 16S ribosomal RNA". It matches the Rfam family "Bacterial small subunit ribosomal RNA", at positions 28 to 507 of the family's 1533-position model. The record is from RNAcentral.